AUGGCUGUCGUCAGCUCGUGUCGUGAGAUGUUGGUUAAGUCCCGCAACGAGCGCAACCCUUGUCUUAUGUUGCCAGCACGUGAUGGUGGGGACUCGUAAGAGACUGCCGGGGUCAACUCGGAGGAAGGUGGGGACGACGUCAAGUCAUCAUGCCCCUUAUGUCCAGGGCUUCACACAUGCUACAAUGGCCAGUACAGAGGGCUGCGAGACCGUGAGGUGGAGCGAAUCCCUUAAAGCUGGUCUCAGUUCGGAUCGGGGUCUGCAACUCGACCCCGUGAAGUCGGAGUCGCUAGUAAUCGCAGAUCAGCAACGCUGCGGUGAAUACGUUCCCGGGCCUU
RNAcentral lists this ribosomal RNA (338 nucleotides) under uncultured Rhodococcus sp. RNAcentral's name for it is "bacterial SSU rRNA". It matches the Rfam family "Bacterial small subunit ribosomal RNA", at positions 1045 to 1382 of the family's 1533-position model. The record is from RNAcentral. Lineage: Bacteria; Bacillati; Actinomycetota; Actinomycetes; Mycobacteriales; Nocardiaceae.